UUUUUUUUUUUUUUUUUUUUUUUUUGAGACAGAGUCUCGCUCUGUGGCUCAGGCUGGAGUGCAGUGGCAUGAUCUUGGCUCACUGCAACCCUUGCCUCCUGGGUUCAAGCAAUUCUUCCUGCCUCAGCCUCCCCAGUAGCUGGGAUUACAGGUGCCCGCCACCCCACCCGGCUAAUUCCUGCAUUUUUAGUAGAGACAGAAUUUCGCCAUGUUGGCCAGGCUGGUCUUGAACUCCUGACCUCAAGUGACCCAUCUGCCUCCGUCUCCCAAAGUGCUGGGAUUACAGGCAUCAGCCACCAUGCCCGACCUGGUUACUACUGUUAACCCUGGAGACAUUUGGCCUCCCUUUUCAUUUCCAGAGUUGAUGACACUGACUUCCAGUCACAACUCCUUUCUCACUGGGGUUCGGAAGGCAGGGAAGUAUUCUCAUGAGAUGGUGUAUUUCAGUAGAAAGCACAGGUCCUCAGGAAGCUGAGACAGGGACAUUGGACAGCCUCUGUGGCUUGCCGUGUUUCCUGUCAUGAUGCACACACAAACCUUGUGGGAAUGGUAGGACUGUACUGUGCCAUCGGUCCCAGUGCUGGCACCUAGGUCAAACAAGGUAUGGCCCCAUGGCAGAAGCCUCUACUCACUUCUGCAGGAGUGCCCAAGGUGGGCCCUGGCACCUGUUUGUAAGAGAAGCAGAAGCCCCAGCUGAUGAAGUUACAUAAAUGCUGACUCCUGGUAGCAAGCAUGCUCUGAGGGACUCCAGGACCUCCUCAUCAAACACUCUUGUGGUGGCCUCACAACACAAAAUUACAACCAAAGGCAGAUUAUGAUUAGCCAGAGAAGUCCUCUUGGGGAGGGAACUGUCUUUGAUAGAACACAUCUAUGGCUGCAUGGAAGGUUGGUAGAUGUGAUAUGUGGCUAGGCAGUAGGAAGGGCAAUGAGAGAGAGCAUUAAGCCACCCCAAGAAAGGGGAGUGUUUGGGUAGAGUUGAGACGAACUCAAAUUUUGGGGGACAGUGAGGGGGUUUGGGCUGACUUCUGGGUCAGAAAUGUCUGAAGCUGCAGCUAGGAAUGGGCGUGUAAGUGUGCGGGUGGCUCACGCCUGUAAUCACAGCAUUUUGCGAGGCCAUGGUGGGAAAAUCGCUUGAGCCCAAGAGUUUGAGACCAACCUGGACAGCAUAGGAAGACCCCAUCCCUACAAAAAAUACAAAAAUUAGCUGGGCAUGGUGGCCCGCACCUGUAGUCCCAGCUACUCGGGAGGCUGAGGUGGAAGAAUCACUUAUGCUCAGGAGCAAUCGCACCACUGCACUCCAGCCUGGGUGAGAGUGAGACCCAAAAAAAAAAAAAAAAAAAAAAGUGCUGGCACCGUGUCUCUGGCGCAUGUGCUGAGCCAUAAGCUGCACAAGCAUAAUGCCAACCCCAGGAUGAGGGGUCAAGUAAUUCUCCUGCCUCAGCCUCCUGAGUAGCUGGGAUUACAGGCACGCACCACCACACCCAGCUAAUUUUUGUAUUUUUAAUAGAGACAAGGUUUCUCCAUGUUGGCCAGGCUGGUCUCAAACUCCUGACCUUGGGUGAUCCACCCGCCUCGGCCUCUCAAAGUGCUGGGAUUACAGGUGUAAGCCACCGCACCCAGUGUAUCCAUCCACUGUUGAUGGCCUUUCAGUUGUUUCCAAUUUUUGUCUAUUGCAAAUACUGCUGCCAGACGCACUGUUGUACAUGUCUUCACGUUGCUCAUAUGCAUUAUUUUUGGAGGGUAUAUUCCCAAAUAAAGAGUGGAAUUUUAGGGUC
Long non-coding RNA from Macaca fascicularis (crab-eating macaque), 1775 nucleotides. NCBI's taxonomy places the organism in Eukaryota, Metazoa, Chordata, Mammalia, Primates, Cercopithecidae. The record is from Ensembl.